CUUCUCGCCGUCCAGGAACGGAGGUGAGAGACGGAGAAAUGGCUACGCAGUUAGUUGAGAAAUGUAUGUAAAUUCGCACGUCAGUAAUUUACAUAAGUAUCUUUUAUAACGGAGGCAAAAAAGUGCGGGUUGCCCUUGAGAAAAGGGAACGCGGACUAGAAGGGAUGUGCAAAUGUGUAUUUUCAAGACCCGCUCCGGCCUGCCCCCUCGGGACGAUUGUGGGAAUCAGAAUAAAGAACCAGGGAAAGUCUGGGCAACGGAGUGAGACCUUAUCUUUACACAAAAUUAAAAAAUGAAACAAAAAAAAAUCCACGGAACGCUACACAGAGAAGACAUUUGCAUGGCCAGCUGGGAACACUUUAGGAGACUAAGGAGAUAAGGUCAUUUUGAAUGCCCUGCCCGCUCCACCAUUGCUCUGGAGAGCUGGGACUCAAGGCUCCCGCCGGGUCGGUGAAGGCCGACGUGGAGAUGGGAGGGCGACGAGCAACUGGGAGUGUCCUCGGGGCUGCACCAGUCCCCUGCAGGCCACCUGAGGGCGUAGGGCGGUUCGCGUGAGCACAAGGGCAUGCAUACUGGUAUCCACACA
Molecule: long non-coding RNA, 586 nt
Filed under: Homo sapiens (human)
Lineage: Eukaryota; Metazoa; Chordata; Mammalia; Primates; Hominidae
Description: non-protein coding lnc-CYP2A6-4:1
Source: RNAcentral